This 727-nucleotide ribosomal RNA is filed under the name Salmonella enterica subsp. enterica serovar Infantis. RNAcentral describes it as "bacterial LSU rRNA". It matches the Rfam family "Bacterial large subunit ribosomal RNA", at positions 1111 to 1756 of the family's 2925-position model. The record is from RNAcentral. Lineage: Bacteria; Pseudomonadati; Pseudomonadota; Gammaproteobacteria; Enterobacterales; Enterobacteriaceae.
AGCAGCCAUCAUUUAAAGAAAGCGUAAUAGCUCACUGGUCGAGUCGGCCUGCGCGGAAGAUGUAACGGGGCUAAACCAUGCACCGAAGCUGCGGCAGCGAACGUAUCACUUAAAGCGAUUCAGCGGAUGACGAUUGACGGAGCGAAGCGACGUCAAAGCGUAUACAAAGUCGAGUCGGUUUAAGGAUACGUUCGUUGGGUAGGGGAGCGUUCUGUAAGCCUGCGAAGGUGGCCUGUGAGGGUUGCUGGAGGUAUCAGAAGUGCGAAUGCUGACAUAAGUAACGAUAAAGCGGGUGAAAAGCCCGCUCGCCGGAAGACCAAGGGUUCCUGUCCAACGUUAAUCGGGGCAGGGUGAGUCGACCCCUAAGGCGAGGCCGAAAGGCGUAGUCGAUGGGAAACGGGUUAAUAUUCCCGUACUUGGUGUUACUGCGAAGGGGGGACGGAGAAGGCUAUGUUGGCCGGGCGACGGUUGUCCCGGUUUAAGCGUGUAGGUGUGUGUUCCAGGUAAAUCCGGUUCACUUUAACACUGAGGCGUGACGACGAGGCACUACGGUGCUGAAGCAACAAAUGCCCUGCUUCCAGGAAAAGCCUCUAAGCAUCAGGUAACAUCAAAUCGUACCCCAAACCGACACAGGUGGUCAGGUAGAGAAUACCAAGGCGCUUGAGAGAACUCGGGUGAAGGAACUAGGCAAAAUGGUGCCGUAACUUCGGGAGAAGGCACGCUGACA